UCCUCUCAUCAGAUCUGUCGUUCCAAGUUCGAAAGCUCUUUUUUGUCACCUGCUACAUCUCCCUUCACAGAUCUCGUUUGCUACCAUUGUUCCUUGCGUUUGACAGCUGCUCAACGCCGCUAUGACAAUUCCAGAUUGCGAUUCCAUUCAGACUCCCAGCCGUGACGAUUCAAAUUCUAGUUACUCGCUGAUGUGACGAUUCCGAUCUCGAGUGCGAUUUCGUGCAUGAUUUCUAUUCCGAUCUGUGGAAGCUUCACCACUCCAUCUUUUUGUGUUUCAUUUGCGGUUCCCCAAUGGUCCUCCUUUCUGGCUUGAGGGGCUACCUCUUUUCUUUUGCUUGUUUACUUUUUUCCUUUCCUGUUUUGGCUUCUUUGGUUUCUAAUUUUUGUCUCUUAUUUUGCAAUUAAAUAGCCAAAUAGCAUUGAACAUGUGUCUCUAUGCCUUCAAUGGAAUCUCUAGAUACUUGAAUUCCCUCUUGGUUGUUGGAAAAACACAUAAAAGAAGCCUUAGUGUUUCGAUGCUGCAUUGCUUAGUUGAUAGAAGUAUAUUUAUGGUUGAAGUAAGAUCUCCUUUCUUUCUCAUCUAUGUGGGAGUCUUAUAUAUAUAUAUAUAUAUAUAAACUGUGCGCACGAGCAUUCUUCUUAUAUAUAUAUAUAUAUAUAUAUGAGUUUGUGUGUGUGGAAGAUAUAUUCAAUAUGUCUAGAAUUGCUUCUUUGAUUCAUCCUGCACUUUCCUUGCGCUACUGUAGUCGAAAAUAAUUAUUGGAUUUUCUUUUGAACUAGGCUGAUUUUAUCGACAUCGAUUUAUCAUACCAGAUAGGAAAAGAAAGCUCUUGGAUGCAAAAACAUACUGUAUAGAUUAUCAUUACUGGCUUGUUGCUAUGGAUGAGUUAAUGUCCAAGGGAAAGCAGAAUGCUGACCAAGCUCGGGUGGCUUGACAAGAUUAUUUUGGUGACCUAUAUUUCACAAUUCCACAUUUGUUUGAGGGAUAAAUGAACAGCAUUCAAAGCAAGCUAACAAAGGGCACAGGAAAGUGGUCCUCAAACUUGGAGAUUGGAUUUGGGUGCAUCUCAAGCCUAAUUUUCAAAUUUGAAGAAGACAAAGUUGCAUCCAAAAGACGAUGGACCUUUUCAAGUGUUGGAACGAAUUAGUAACAAUGCCUACAAGAUAGACCUCCCUAGUUUCCAUGGGAAUGUGUUAGCUACAUUUAGCAUUGCAAAUCUUUCUUUAUUUGAUGCAUGUAAUUGAAAAAUGAAUCCUUUUCAAGAAGGAGGGAAUGAUGGGAAUCAAGUGACGAGUUAGAAUUUAAUAUUUAGUACCUUUGAUCCGUUACAAAGCAUUAGAGGACCAAUGAUUAGAUCCAAAGCUAAGAGGAUGAAAGAAGCCCUAAAUUCAUUAAUUAGAGAUGUUGCAAAUAAUCAAAAAGUCUUGAAGAUGAAUGGAGUUCUAAAAGACUAAAGAAAGACUUUUAGCAUAUUAGGCUUAACC
Long non-coding RNA from Prosopis cineraria, 1487 nucleotides. RefSeq lists it as uncharacterized. Lineage: Eukaryota; Viridiplantae; Streptophyta; Magnoliopsida; Fabales; Fabaceae. The transcript is spliced from 3 exons. The record is from RefSeq and is a predicted model, not a curated record.